RNAcentral lists this transfer RNA (117 nucleotides) under Deinococcus metalli. RNAcentral's name for it is "tRNA-Cys". It matches the Rfam family "tRNA". From Rfam's summary of the family: Transfer RNA (tRNA) molecules are approximately 80 nucleotides in length. Their secondary structure includes four short double-helical elements and three loops (D, anti-codon, and T loops). Further hydrogen bonds mediate the characteristic L-shaped molecular structure. tRNAs have two regions of fundamental functional importance: the anti-codon, which is responsible for specific mRNA codon recognition, and the 3' end, to which the tRNAs corresponding amino acid is attached (by aminoacyl-tRNA synthetases). tRNAs cope with the degeneracy of the genetic code in two manners: having more than one tRNA (with a specific anti-codon) for a particular amino acid; and 'wobble' base-pairing, i.e. permitting non-standard base-pairing at the 3rd anti-codon position. The record is from RNAcentral. Lineage: Bacteria; Thermotogati; Deinococcota; Deinococci; Deinococcales; Deinococcaceae.
GAAGGGAUGGCAGAGUCCGGUUGAAUGCACUUGCUCGCAGAGUGAGAGGGGGGGCUGUCCAUCGCCAUCGGCGUGGACAGCCCCCCCUCGUAGGUUCGAAUCCCACUCCCUUCGCCA